GAGGUAGAACAGAAAAUAGUAAGCACUGCUAAUUCUUACCGCCCAGGGUUAAAAUCCAUGGCUACCUCA
Molecule: transfer RNA, 69 nt
Filed under: unidentified
Description: Prolabeops melanhypopterus tRNA-Ser
Source: RNAcentral